Molecule: ribosomal RNA, 604 nt
Filed under: Bacillus sp. (in: firmicutes)
Lineage: Bacteria; Bacillati; Bacillota; Bacilli; Caryophanales; Bacillaceae
Description: bacterial SSU rRNA
Rfam family: Bacterial small subunit ribosomal RNA
Source: RNAcentral
AUACAUGCAAGUCGAGCGGACAGAUGGGAGCUUGCUCCCUGAUGUUAGCGGCGGACGGGUGAGUAACACGUGGGUAACCUGCCUGUAAGACUGGGAUAACUCCGGGAAACCGGGGCUAAUACCGGAUGCUUGUUUGAACCGCAUGGUUCAAACAUAAAAGGUGGCUUCGGCUACCACUUACAGAUGGACCCGCGGCGCAUUAGCUAGUUGGUGAGGUAACGGCUCACCAAGGCAACGAUGCGUAGCCGACCUGAGAGGGUGAUCGGCCACACUGGGACUGAGACACGGCCCAGACUCCUACGGGAGGCAGCAGUAGGGAAUCUUCCGCAAUGGACGAAAGUCUGACGGAGCAACGCCGCGUGAGUGAUGAAGGUUUUCGGAUCGUAAAGCUCUGUUGUUAGGGAAGAACAAGUGCCGUUCAAAUAGGGCGGCACCUUGACGGUACCUAACCAGAAAGCCACGGCUAACUACGUGCCAGCAGCCGCGGUAAUACGUAGGUGGCAAGCGUUGUCCGGAAUUAUUGGGCGUAAAGGGCUCGCAGGCGGUUUCUUAAGUCUGAUGUGAAAGCCCCCGGCUCAACCGGGGAGGGUCAUUGGAAACUGGG